This is a long non-coding RNA of Oncorhynchus keta (chum salmon), 414 nucleotides long. RefSeq lists it as uncharacterized. The transcript is spliced from 4 exons. The record is from RefSeq and is a predicted model, not a curated record. NCBI's taxonomy places the organism in Eukaryota, Metazoa, Chordata, Actinopteri, Salmoniformes, Salmonidae.
ACUGAGCUGUGUCCUGUCUAGGUCUGUAUCUCCAGGUUAGACUGAGCUGUGGCCUGUAUCUCCAGGUUAGACUGAGCUGUGUCCUGUCUAGGUCUGUAUCUCCAGGUUAGACUGAGCUGUGGCCUGUAUCUCCAGGUUAGACUGAGCUGUGGUCUGUGUAGGUCUGUAUCUCCAGGUUAGACUGAGCUGUGGUCUGUGUAGGUCUGUAUCUCCAGGUUAGACUGAGCUGUGGCCUGUAUCUCCAGGUAAACUGAGCUGUGGUCUGUAUCUCCAGGUUAGACUGAGCUGUGGCCUGUCUAGGUCUGUAUCUCCAGGUAAACUGAGCUGUGGUCUGUAUCUCCAGGUAAACUGAGCUGUGGUGAGUCUCUGUUUCCAGCCAGAUCAGCCAGUCAGUGAGAGAGAGACCAGGGGAUU